CAGCCGCCGCGGUAAUACGUAGGGUGCGAGCGUUCAUCGGAUUUACUGGGCGUAAAGCGUGCGCAGGCGGCCCGUUAAGACAGGUGUGAAAUCCCUGGGCUCAACCUAGGAAUUGCGCUUGUGACUGGCGGGCUCGAGUACGGUAGAGGGGGGUGGAAUUCCUGGUGUAGCAGUGAAAUGCGUAGAGAUCAGGAGGAACACCGAUGGCGAAGGCAGCCCCCUGGGCCUGUACUGACGCUCAUGCACGAAAGCGUGGGGAGCAAACAGGAUUAGAUACCCGGGUAGUCCACGCCCUAAACGAUGGGUACUAGCCGUUUGGUGCGCGAUAGCGCUGAGUGGCGAAGCUAACGCGUGAAGUACCCCGCCUGGGGAGUACGGCCGCAAGGUUGAAACUUAAAGGAAUUGGCGGG
Molecule: ribosomal RNA, 410 nt
Filed under: uncultured microorganism
Description: bacterial SSU rRNA
Rfam family: Bacterial small subunit ribosomal RNA
Source: RNAcentral